Molecule: ribosomal RNA, 492 nt
Filed under: uncultured bacterium
Lineage: Bacteria
Description: partial 16S ribosomal RNA
Rfam family: Bacterial small subunit ribosomal RNA
Source: RNAcentral
AGUGAACGCUGGCGGUAGGCCUAACACAUGCAAGUCGAACGGCAGCACAGUAAGAGCUUGCUCUUACGGGUGGCGAGUGGCGGACGGGUGAGGAAUACAUCGGAAUCUACUUUUUCGUGGGGGAUAACGUAGGGAAACUUACGCUAAUACCGCAUACGACCUACGGGCGAAAGCAGGGGAUCUUCGGACCUUGCGCGAUUGAAUGAGCCGAUGUCGGAUUAGCUAGUUGGCGGGGUAAAGGCCCACCAAGGCGACGAUCCGUAGCUGGUCUGAGAGGAUGAUCAGCCACACUGGAACUGAGACACGGUCCAGACUCCUACGGGAGGCAGCAGUGGGGAAUAUUGGACAAUGGGCGAAAGCCUGAUCCAGCAAUACCGCGUGGGUGAAGAAGGCCUUCGGGUUGUAAAGCCCUUUUGUUGGGAAAGAAAAGCAGCAGGUUAAUACCCCGCUGUUCUGACGGUACCCAAAGAAUAAGCACCGGCCAACUUCGUG